RNAcentral lists this ribosomal RNA (422 nucleotides) under uncultured bacterium. RNAcentral describes it as "bacterial SSU rRNA". It matches the Rfam family "Bacterial small subunit ribosomal RNA", at positions 356 to 792 of the family's 1533-position model. The record is from RNAcentral.
GGGGAAUCUUCCGCAAUGGGCGCAAGCCUGACGGAGCAAUACCGCGUGAGGGAGGAAGGCUUUUGGGUUGUAAACCUCUUUUCUCAAGGAAGAAGAAAGUGACGGUACUUGAGGAAGAAGCAUCGGCUAACUCCGUGCCAGCAGCCGCGGUAAUACGGAGGAUGCAAGCGUUAUCCGGAAUCAUUGGGCGUAAAGCGUCCGUAGGUGGCUAGCCAAGUCUGCUGUCAAAGACUAGAGCUUAACUCUAGAAAGGCGGUGGAAACUGGAGAGCUAGAGACCGGUAGGGGUAGAGGGAAUUCCCAGUGUAGCGGUGAAAUGCGUAGAGAUUGGGAAGAACACCAGUGGCGAAGGCGCUCUACUGGGCCGGAACUGACACUGAGGGACGAAAGCUAGGGGAGCGAAAGGGAUUAGAUACCCCUGUA